Molecule: long non-coding RNA, 486 nt
Filed under: Eutrema salsugineum
Lineage: Eukaryota; Viridiplantae; Streptophyta; Magnoliopsida; Brassicales; Brassicaceae
Description: long non-coding RNA (ESAL_LNC000278)
Source: RNAcentral
GUUUUUAUACAAAGUCAAAGGAAACUUGGAGCUCUGUUGAUCAUAUUUUUAUGACCAGAGAGUUUUUGAACAAAGCCUUACAUAUAUUAUAGCCAUUUGUUACUACCAAGUACCAUCGCGAUGGGUCAUCUCUUAUCCUGUUACAUGCGUCGCAAGAAGGGUGAGCUGACGUCAUCUCCGCCGAAGAAUGGCGUCAAAAAGGGUAAUUUAACGACGCUGGGCACGAAAGAUGGAGAUCUUGUUUUCAUGGCGUCCUCGAGAAAGAGUAAGAAGACCUCCAGAGGCUGUUGUUGGGGCGGAGAAGGAGAUGGAGGUGGUGGUUGCGGUUGCGGCGGCGGUUGCGGAGGUGGGUGUGGAGGCGGCGGCGGUUAAAAGGUAAAAAUUAUAGUUCUGUAUAAUGUAAUGCUAUGUAUGAUUUCUGGUGCGUGUGAUUUCUUUUGUACAUGUAAGAUUUCAGGUGUGAUGUGUAAUAUACACCAAUAACUC